GUCUGUCAGAGCAUAGUGUUUCUUUAUAACGUGACAUCGCCAACUAGUGGCCUGGCAUGCAUAAUACAGCAUUUU
Sinocyclocheilus anshuiensis is the source of this 75-nucleotide long non-coding RNA. RefSeq lists it as uncharacterized. NCBI's taxonomy places the organism in Eukaryota, Metazoa, Chordata, Actinopteri, Cypriniformes, Cyprinidae. The record is from RefSeq and is a predicted model, not a curated record. The transcript has 4 exons.